This 904-nucleotide ribosomal RNA is filed under the name Xiphinema hunaniense. RNAcentral describes it as "SSU rRNA". It matches the Rfam family "Eukaryotic small subunit ribosomal RNA", at positions 118 to 1022 of the family's 1831-position model. The record is from RNAcentral. Lineage: Eukaryota; Metazoa; Nematoda; Enoplea; Dorylaimida; Longidoridae.
AAAUAGGUUGUCCUACUCGGAUAACUGUGGCAAUUCUAGAGCUAAUACAUGCGAAAAGACUCAGACCGUAAGGAAUGAGUGCAUUUAUUAGAAUAAAAACCAAUCGGGCGUAAAAAACCCGUCAUUUGGUGAAUCUGAAUAACUUUGCCGAUCGUACGGUCCUAGUACCGACGACGUAUCUUUCAAGUGUCUGCCUUAUCAACUUUCGAUGGUAGGUUAUACGCCUACCAUGGUAGUAACGGGUAACGGAGAAUAAGGGUUCGACUCCGGAGAGGGAGCCUGAGAAACGGCUACCACAUCCAAGGAAGGCAGCAGGCGCGCAAAUUACCCACUUCCAGAACGGAGAGGUAGUGACGAAAAAUAACGAGACAGUCCUCUUCGAGGUCUGUCAUCGGAAUGGGUACAAUUUAAAUCCUUUAACGAGGAUCUAUUGGAGGGCAAGUCUGGUGCCAGCAGCCGCGGUAAUUCCAGCUCCAAUAGCGUAUAUUAAAGUUGUUGCGGUUAAAACGCUCGUAGUUGGAUCUGCGGUUUUCGGAGAAUGGUCCCCCGAAAGGGCGGUCACUGUUACUCCAAGCCUAUAUAUUCAGUCCGUUCUACGGUGCUCUUAACCGAGUGCCUAGAUCGACUGGAACGUUUACUUUGAAAAAAUUAGAGUGCUCAAAGCAGGCGCAAUAGCCUGAAUAAGGUGCAUGGAAUAAUGGAAUAGGAUCUCGGUUCUAUUUUGUUGGUUUUCGGAAUCUGAGAUAAUGAUUAAGAGGAACAGACGGGGGCAUUCGUAUUCCGGCGCUAGAGGUGAAAUUCUUGGACCGCCGGAAGACGGACGACUGCGAAAGCAUUUGCCAAGAAUGUUUUCAUUAAUCAAGAACGAAAGUUAGAGGUUCGAAGGCGACGAAUAACCGCCCAA